AGGGCAAGUCUGGUGCCAGCAGCCGCGGUAAUUCCAGCUCCAAUAGCGUAUAUUAAAGUUGUUGCAGUUAAAAAGCUCGUAGUUGAAUUUCGGGGUUAGUAGGUUGGUCAUGCCUCAGGUAUGUACUGAUCUCACUGGCUCCUCCUUCCUGAUGAACCGUAAUGCCAUUAAUUUGGUGUUGCGGGGAGACUGGACUGUUACUUUGAAAAAAUUAGAGUGUUUAAAGCAGGCUAACGCUUGAAUACAUUAGCAUGGAAUAAUGAAAUAGGACGUUCGAUCUUAUUUUGUUGGUUUCUAAGAUUGACGUAAUGAUUAAUAGGGAUAGUUGGGGGCAUUAGUAUUCAAUUGUCAGAGGUGAAAUUCUUGGAUUUAUUGAAGACUAACUACUGCGAAAGCAUUUGCCAAGGAUGUUUUCAUUAAUCAAGAACGAAAGUUAGGGGAUCGAAGACGAUCAGAUACCGUCGUAGUCUUAACCAUAAACUAUGCCGACUAGGGAUCGGAUGAUGUUAAUUUUUUAAUGACUCAUUCGGCGCCUUACGGGAA
Molecule: ribosomal RNA, 543 nt
Filed under: uncultured Glomeromycotina
Lineage: Eukaryota; Fungi; Glomeromycota
Description: SSU rRNA
Rfam family: Eukaryotic small subunit ribosomal RNA
Source: RNAcentral